AUCCGCUCGCAAACUUCCUCUUUCAUCUAAUCAAUUCGUGCGGUGUAGACGUGAUUCCGUCUUUGCUGCCGUGAAAAUGAGAGCCAAGUGGCGUAAGAAGCGUAUGCGGAGGUUGAAGCGUAAGCGCAGGAAGAUGCGUGCGAGAUCCAAGUAAACCCCCGGCCGGUACUCCCUUCUACCGAUAAGCUGUGCGGAGGACCUCGAUCACCGUAGAUAUCGCACCAGGGUGGCAUCAUUCCAGACACCGCUUUGGAUGGUGAAGCUUUUCAUCAUUCUUGCAGUGUGUUUGCUUGAACAGUUUACAUUUGGAAUUAUAACAAUCCAAAUAAAAGCCGUGAGGAGCGGACAAUGUGCUUCCGGGGACGAUGGAUCCGGUCGAACACUGAAUAACUCUUAAAA
Anopheles moucheti is the source of this 399-nucleotide long non-coding RNA. RefSeq lists it as uncharacterized. The record is from RefSeq and is a predicted model, not a curated record. Lineage: Eukaryota; Metazoa; Arthropoda; Insecta; Diptera; Culicidae. The transcript has 3 exons.